Molecule: ribosomal RNA, 482 nt
Filed under: uncultured bacterium
Lineage: Bacteria
Description: partial 16S ribosomal RNA
Rfam family: Bacterial small subunit ribosomal RNA
Source: RNAcentral
AUUGAACGCUGGCGGCAUGCUUUACACAUGCAAGUCGAACGGUAACAGGCCGCAAGGUGCUGACGAGUGGCGAACGGGUGAGUAAUGCAUCGGAACGUGCCCAGUCGUGGGGGAUAACUACUCGAAAGAGUAGCUAAUACCGCAUACGAUCUAUGGAUGAAAGCGGGGGACCGUAAGGCCUCGCGCGAUUGGUGCGGCCGAUGUCAGAUUAGGUAGUUGGUGGGGUAAAGGCUCACCAAGCCAACGAUCUGUAGCUGGUCUGAGAGGACGACCAGCCACACUGGGACUGAGACACGGCCCAGACUCCUACGGGAGGCAGCAGUGGGGAAUUUUGGACAAUGGGCGCAAGCCUGAUCCAGCAAUGCCGCGUGCAGGAAGAAGGCCUUCGGGUUGUAAAAUGCUUUUGUACGGAACGAAACGGCUCUGGUUAAUACCCGGGGCUAAUGACGGUACCGUAAGAAUAAGCACCGGCUAACUACGUG